GCUUCUCUUAAGUCACAAUAAUGUCCAACAUUGUGACAUGACCAAGAAUUCUCACAACCUCUUUUCCCACCCAUUCAAAGUUCUAACUGAAAGUUAACUUCCAAUGUUACCUCCCUCAUGGACUAGAUAGCUCCUGGUGUAUGUCUCCCACAGACUAGAAGGAUGUAGUCACUGCUGAAGCAAAAAGCAAACCAGCGUGGGCUCCUCAACAACCAGCCUCUCCUUCAUAAGAUGUAAAAAGCCAGGCACAGGCCACCCACCCACAACCUACAGGUUUUCUCAGGGCCAUAUCCAAGCUCUCUGCCAGCCAGGUCCUUUACCUGUUGUAGCACGAUCUCACAGGGUGAGUCCACCUGGCCCUUUCUUCCUUUUCAUGUACCUUCCCCAGCUCCCAGAUCUGGCCCAAGCCCCACAUCUAGU
RNAcentral lists this long non-coding RNA (420 nucleotides) under Rattus norvegicus (Norway rat). RNAcentral describes it as "long non-coding RNA NONRATT031592". Lineage: Eukaryota; Metazoa; Chordata; Mammalia; Rodentia; Muridae. The record is from RNAcentral.